Molecule: ribosomal RNA, 79 nt
Filed under: uncultured bacterium
Lineage: Bacteria
Description: partial 16S ribosomal RNA
Source: RNAcentral
GAAGAACGGUCGGCGCUUAAACCCCGCAAAGGGGGAAGGCACGGCCCGGACCGACGGUAGGGUCAGGCGACUUGGGGUG